AUGGCGGAGGUGGCGCUGGCUGUGGCUGGUGCACGGGCUGGCUUACAGUUGGUGGUAUCACCGAUCUUGAAGAAGCUCCUAGCUGACCCUGCAAGGUGCCUUGGUGUGGACAUGGUGAGUGAGCUCCAUGAACUGGAGACCAACAUCAUGCCACAGUUCGCUCUACUGGUUGAGGCAGCUAACAAGAGCCCUCACAGGCCAAUGUUGAACAACUGGAUCCAGCAGCUCAAAGACGCCUUCUGUAAAGCUGAGGACCUGCUAGAUGAGCAUGAGUACAACAUCCUCAAGCGCGAAGCAGAGAGUGGGAAGGAUUCUUUGAUAGAACAUGCAUCUUCCAGUAAUGCUAUUAUGAAGCAUGUGCAUACUGUGUCGAGCAGGCUGUCCAAUCUGUGCCCAAAGAACAAACAGCUGCUUGACCAGCUGAAGGAACUGAAGGCCAUCCUUGCGAAAGCCAGGGGCCUCCGUGAACUGCUUUGCUUACCUGCUGGUAAUAGUGUUGAGGCCUUCCCAGCACCGGCAUCUGCUAUUCCAGUUGAUACAUCAUUUGCACCACUAAAAGUGAUCGGCCGUGACAAGGAUCGCAAUGAUAUUAUAGAUCUUCUUACCAAGCCAAUUGAUGUUGAGUGUGAUACAAGCAGGUAUUCUGGUGUAGCCAUUGUUGGACUUGGAGGCAUGGGAAAAUCCACUUUGGCACGACAUGUUUGUAAUGACAAGAGGGUAAAAGAACACUUUGAGGUCAGGAUGUGGGUCUGCAUCUCACGCAAACUUGAUGUCUGUGGCCAUACACGGUUGAUUAUUGAAUCAGCAAAAGGAGGGCAGUGCCCACCCAUUGAUAAUCUUGAUACUCUCCAGUGCAUAUUAAGGGACAUACUGGAGAGUAAAAAAAGAUUCCUGCUUGUGUUAGACGAUGUCUGGUUUGAAGAAAGCACCAACGAGGUGGAGUGGGAAAAACUAUUGUCUCCUCUAGUAUGCCAACAGACGGGAAGCAAAAUUUUGGUAACUUCUCGAUCAAAUGACCAUGCAUUUUCUGGUGCAGCAAUCGGGGACCAGAGGGUGCGUGACCAGCUAGAGACUAUUGCAGAAAAGCUUGCUAAAAGACUUGGAAGAUCUCCUCUAGCAGCAAAAACAGUGGGUUCACGGCUGAGCAGGAAAAAGGAUAAGGCUGCAUGGGAAGAUGCUCUAAGGACUGACAGCUUAAGCGACCCCAGUAGAGCACUUCUAUGGAGCUAUGAGAAGUUAGAUCCAAGUCUUCAGAGGUGUUUUCUAUAUUGUAGUUUAUAUCCAAAAGGCCACUCCUAUUUCAUUGAUGAUUUGGUUCGCAUGUGGGUAGCAGAGGGACUAAUUGAAUCCUGCAAUGUGAACAAGAGAAUUGAAGAUAUUGGGAGGGACUGCUUUGAUGAGAUGCUCUCAGUUUCAUUCCUUCAACCACUUUACACAUCCACAGGUGGCAUAUCUCCGUACUACUGUGUUAUGCAUGAUCUGGUUCAUGAUUUGGCAGAGUUACUGUCUGAAAAUGUCUGCUUUAGGUUAGAAGAUGAUAAGGUGGCAAAAAUACCACACACUGUUCGACAUCUAUCUAUCUGUGUUAGGACUUUGAAGCAACAUCAACACUCUAUUUGCGGGCUACAUAAUUUACGUAGCUUUGUUUGCAUUAAACCACUUACAGAUGAUGCAAGAGAUAUUUUCCAGCAGGUGUUGCAGAAUUUAAAGAAGUUGCGUGUACUCUAUUUGAGCUUUUACAACAGCAGCAAGGUACCUGAAUCUGUUGGUGAACUGAAACACCUUCGGUACUUGGACCUCAGAGGUACUUCAAUCUCUGAAUUGCCUGGAUCAUUGUGUGCUCUUUAUCACAUGCAAUUACUUAAGUUCAGUAGGAAUGUCAAAAAAAUUCCUGAAAAACUAUUCAGGUUAAAUAAGUUGAGAUAUCUUGAGGAUUGUGGCCAAAUCCCUUACAUAGGCAAGUUAACUUCACUCCAAUGUCUCAACCAAUUUUGCGUGCAAAAGCAGAUGGGCCAUGAGGUGCAGCAGCUGAAGGACAUGAACCACCUUGGAGGCAGUUUAAGUAUCCAAAAUCUCGAGAAUGUCCCCGGGAAGGAUCAAGCCUUGGAAGCAAAACUACAUCAAAAAAAUCAUCUUGAGAGCUUGCACCUUGAAUGGAGUUACAGAGCUGACAUGAGUUCACAUGAUAGUUUACAUUUGGAAAUUCUGGAAGGUCUGAUGCCACCGCCUCAAAUUAGGGGCCUUACUAUCAAAGGUUACAGAUAUGCAAAAUAUCCAGGCUGGUUACUCAGGGAUUCUUAUUUCCAGAAUUUGGAAUCACUUUCCCUGGUUAAUUGCAGCGCCAUAGAAAUCCUACCAUCCAAUCCCACUCUCCUUGGAAAUUGCUCCUCACUUUGCCUCAAGAAUAUCCCAAACCUGAAGACAUUACCUUCUCUUCCAAACAGCCUUGAAGAGUUAGCAAUUGAAAAAUGCAUGUUGAUUAUGUUUAUUUCUGAUGAUGAGCUAGAACAACAUGGCCAGAGGGACAACACCAUUAUGACAUACAACUUGAAGUCGCAGUUUUCUUCCAUGUGGGAGGUGGAUAUGGGAUCAAAUAUAAGGAAAGUACUAUUGUCGGAACAUUCAUCUCUGAAGUGGUUGAUCACUUCAAUGGAUGUUGAUAGUCCUCAUCUUCAAACUAUUGAAAGUACUCUAAAAAGAGAGGGUGAUGGUGUAUUGGAACAAGAGGAUAUCAUCAAGGCAUGGAUAUGUUGCCAUGAGGAGAGGAUACGGCUCAUUUGUACAAGGAACAUCAGCCUGCCACUGGUUCUACCAUCAGUGCUUUCUCGGCUUGACCUUUGUUCCUGCAUUAUUACGGAUGGAGCAUUAGCUGUUUUCCUUGAUGGUCUCACCUCACUGAGACGUUUAUCACUAAAAGAGAUUAUGACUUUAACUACACUUCCGUCAGAAGAUGUCCUCCAGCAGUUGACAAAGCUUCAGAACUUGUGCAUCGACUCGUGCUGGUGCCUUGGAUCAUUAGGUGGGUUACGAGCUGCUACCGGUCUUUCAGAAAUUUCAUUAUGGAGCUGCCCUUCUUUGGACUUCACAUGUGGAUCAGUUUUUUUGCCAUUGUCCCUUGAGAAGCUCUACAUACGACAUUGUGUGGUCGCAGCUGAUUUCCUCAGUAGUGACUUGCCACAACUGAAACUUAUUGACAUGGCAUUCUGCAGAAGCUCUUCAUCAUUGUCGAUUGGUCAUUCGACCUCCCUCAGAAGAUUGUCACUAGAAAAUCUACAGGACUUGUGCUUUCUUGAAGGGUUGUCUUCGCUGCAACUUGGCAGUGCAAUAUUUACACAUGUCCCAAACCUCAAUAUGAAGUGCAUCUCACAGCUGCAAGUCCAGGAUUACCUCUAUGUUAGCAGCCCCGUAAUGCUCAACCACAUGCUCUCUGCUGAAGGUUUUAAUGUUCCAAGACAUUUUGGUCUUAUAGGAUGCAAGGAGUCCUUUUCAUUUGAGGAGUCAGCAGAUUUAUCAUCUGUCAUCACCCUGUUAUUUAUGGAUUGUGAAAUCAGUUCAUUGCCAGGAAAUCUGAAGUCCUUUUCAUGCCUGACGAUGCUGCGAAUUGUAAGAUGCUCCAAUAUAUCAUCAUUACCUGAUUUGCCUUCUUCCCUCGACCAUAUAUAUGUGCGGGAUUCUGAACUCUUGAAGAAGAGCUGUCAAUCACCUCAUGGGGAAAGCUGGCCAAAGAUCGAGCAUAUCCGCUCAAAACUGUUUUAUUAA
RNAcentral lists this ribosomal RNA (3759 nucleotides) under Triticum aestivum (bread wheat). Its description in RNAcentral is "partial small subunit ribosomal RNA". Lineage: Eukaryota; Viridiplantae; Streptophyta; Magnoliopsida; Poales; Poaceae. The record is from RNAcentral.